This 201-nucleotide ribosomal RNA is filed under the name Litchfieldia salsa. RNAcentral describes it as "Bacillus salsus 16S rRNA. Bacterial SSU". It matches the Rfam family "Bacterial small subunit ribosomal RNA", at positions 1 to 196 of the family's 1533-position model. The record is from RNAcentral. Lineage: Bacteria; Bacillati; Bacillota; Bacilli; Caryophanales; Bacillaceae.
UCUUUUUGGAGAGUUUGAUCCUGGCUCAGGAUGAACGCUGGCGGCGUGCCUAAUACAUGCAAGUCGAGCGAAUACAAGGGAGCUUGCUCCCAAAGAUUAGCGGCGGACGGGUGAGUAACACGUGGGCAAUCUGCCUGUAAGACUGGGAUAACUUCGGGAAACCGGAGCUAAUACCGGAUAAUAUAGAGAACCGCAUGGUUC